This 230-nucleotide ribosomal RNA is filed under the name uncultured microorganism. Its description in RNAcentral is "partial 16S ribosomal RNA". It matches the Rfam family "Bacterial small subunit ribosomal RNA", at positions 524 to 753 of the family's 1533-position model. The record is from RNAcentral.
UACGGAGGGUGCGAGCGUUAAUCGGAAUCACUGGGCGUAAAGCGCACGUAGGCGGCGCAUCAAGUCAGACGUGAAAGCCCUCGGCUCAACCGAGGAAUUGCGUUUGAAACUGGUGUGCUGGAGUCUCGGAGAGGUUGGCGGAAUUCCAGGUGUAGGAGUGAAAUCCGUAGAUAUCUGGAGGAACACCGGUGGCGAAGGCGGCCAACUGGACGAGUACUGACGCUGAGGUG